UACGUAGGGCGCGAGCGUUGUCCGGAAUUAUUGGGCGUAAAGAGCUCGUAGGCGGCCUGUUGCGUCUGCUGUGAAAUCCCGGGGCUUAACCCCGGGCGUGCAGUGGAUACGGGCAGGCUGGAGGCAGGCAGGGGAGAAUGGAAUUCCCGGUGUAGCGGUGAAAUGCGCAGAUAUCGGGAGGAACACCGGUGGCGAAGGCGGUUCUCUGGCUCACAACUGACGAUCAGGCACGAAAGCGUGGGGAGCAAACAGG
Molecule: ribosomal RNA, 253 nt
Filed under: uncultured bacterium
Lineage: Bacteria
Description: partial 16S ribosomal RNA
Rfam family: Bacterial small subunit ribosomal RNA
Source: RNAcentral